Molecule: ribosomal RNA, 253 nt
Filed under: uncultured bacterium
Lineage: Bacteria
Description: partial 16S ribosomal RNA
Rfam family: Bacterial small subunit ribosomal RNA
Source: RNAcentral
UACGUAGGGGGCAAGCGUUGUCCGGAUUUAUUGGGCGUAAAGAGCGUGUAGGCGGCUUGGUAGGUCCGCUGUGAAAACUCGAGGCUCAACCUCGAGAUGUCGGCGGAAACCACUUGGCUAGAGUCCGGAAGAGGAGAGUGGAAUUCCUGGUGUAGCGGUGAAAUGCGCAGAUAUCAGGAAGAACACCUAUGGCGAAGGCAGCUCUCUGGGACGGUACUGACGCUGAGACGCGAAAGCGUGGGGAGCAAACAGG